Molecule: ribosomal RNA, 497 nt
Filed under: uncultured bacterium
Lineage: Bacteria
Description: partial 16S ribosomal RNA
Rfam family: Bacterial small subunit ribosomal RNA
Source: RNAcentral
GAUGAACGCUGGCGGCGUGCCUAAUACAUGCAAGUCGAGCGAACGGACGAGAAGCUUGCUCCUCUGAGGUUAGCGGCGGACGGGUGAGUAACACGUGGAUAACCUACCUAUAAGACUGGGAUAACUUCGGGAAACCGGAGCUAAUACCGGAUAAUAUGUUGAACCGCAUGGUUCAAUAGUGAAAGACGGUUUUGCUGUCACUUAUAGAUGGAUCCGCGCUGCAUUAGCUAGUUGGUAAGGUAACGGCUUACCAAGGCAACGAUGCGUAGCCGACCUGAGAGGGUGAUCGGCCACACUGGAACUGAGACACGGUCCAGACUCCUACGGGAGGCAGCAGUAGGGAAUAUUCCGCAAUGGGCGAAAGCCUGACGGAGCAACGCCGCGUGAGUGAUGAAGGUCUUCGGAUCGUAAAACUCUGUUAUUAGGGAAGAACAAAUGUGUAAGUAACUGUGCACGUCUUGACGGUACCUAAUCAGAAAGCCACGGCUAACUACGUG